UGUUAGUGGCAGACGGGUGAGUAAUGCGUAGGAAUCUACCUAGUAGUACGGAAUAGCCAUUAGAAAUGGUGGGUAAUACUGUAUAAUCCCCGAGGGGGAAAGAUUUAUCGCUAUUAGAUGAGCCUACGUUAGAUUAGCUAGUUGGUGAGGUAAUGGCUUACCAAGGCUAUGAUCUAUAGCUGGUCUGAGAGGACGAUCAGCCACACUGGAACUGAGAUACGGUCCAGACUCCUACGGGAGGCAGCAGUGGGGAAUAUUGGACAAUGGGCGAAAGCCUGAUCCAGCUAUGCCGCGUGAGUGAAGAAGGCCUUCGGGUUGUAAAACUCUUUCAAUAGGGAAGAUAAUGACGGUACCUAUAGAAGAAGUCCCGGCAAACUCUGUGCCAGCAGCCGCGGUAAUACGGAGGGGGCAAGCGUUGUUCGGAAUUAUUGGGCGUAAAGGGCACGUAGGUGGACUAGUAAGUUAAAAGUGAAAUACCAAAGCUUAACUUUGGAGCGGCUUUUAAUACUGCUAGACUAGAGGUCGAAAGAGGAUAGCGGAAUUCCUAGUGUAGAGGUGAAAUUCGUAGAUAUUAGGAGGAACACCAGUGGCGAAGGCGGCUAUCUGGUUCGAUACUGACACUGAGGUGCGAAAGCGUGGGGAGCAAACAGGAUUAGAUACCCUGGUAGUCCACGCUGUAAACGAUGAGUGCUAAAUGUGAGGAUUUUAUCUUUGUAUUGUAGCUAACGCGUUAAGCACUCCGCCUGGGGACUACGGUCGCAAGACUAAAACUCAAAGGAAUUGACGGGGACCCGCACAAGCGGUGGAGCAUGUGGUUUAAUUCGAUGCUACGCGAAAAACCUUACCACUUUUUGACAUGAAGGUCGUAUCCCUCCUAACAGGGGGAGUCAGUUCGGCUGGACCUUACACAGGUGCUGCAUGGUUGUCGUCAGCUCGUGUCGUGAGAUGUUGGGUUAAGUCCCGCAACGAGCGCAACCCUCAUUCUUAGUUACCAACAGGUAAUGCUGGGCACUCUAAGGAAACUGCCAGUGAUAAACUGGAGGAAGGUGGGGAUGAUGUCAAAUCAGCACGGCCCUUAUAGGGUGGGCUACACACGUGCUACAAUGGCAACUACAAUAGGUUGCGAGACCGCAAGGUUUAGCUAAUCCAUAAAAGUUGUCUCAGUUCGGAUUGUUCUCUGAAACUCGAGAGCAUGAAGUCGGAAUCGCUAGUAAUCGUGGAUCAUCACGCCACGGUGAAUACGUUCUCGGGUCUUGUACACACUGCCCGUCACGCCAUGGGAAUUGGCUUAA
Molecule: ribosomal RNA, 1292 nt
Filed under: Ehrlichia canis
Lineage: Bacteria; Pseudomonadati; Pseudomonadota; Alphaproteobacteria; Rickettsiales; Anaplasmataceae
Description: bacterial SSU rRNA
Rfam family: Bacterial small subunit ribosomal RNA
Source: RNAcentral